RNAcentral lists this ribosomal RNA (352 nucleotides) under Percus plicatus. RNAcentral describes it as "partial 12S ribosomal RNA". Lineage: Eukaryota; Metazoa; Arthropoda; Insecta; Coleoptera; Carabidae. The record is from RNAcentral.
UUUAAAUGUAAAAUAAAUUUACUAAAGUAGUAAUAGUUAUGUUCUCGAAAUUUAAAGAUUUUGGCGGUAUUUUAGUCUAUUUAGAGGAACCUGUUCUGUAAUUGAUAAUCCACGAUUAACUUUACUUAUUUUAUAAAUUUGUAUACCGUCGUUAUUAGAAAAUUUUAGUAGAAAAUAAAUUUUUAAUAUUUUAUAUUAAAAAAUAUAUCAGAUCAAGGUGCAGUUAAUAUUUAAGAAGAAAUGGGUUACAAUAAAUUUAUUUAUAUGGAUUAAAAUAUUAAUAGUUUUAUGAAGGUGGAUUUAAUAGUAAUUAAAUUAAUAUAAAUUUUGUGAUUUUAGCUCUAAAAUAUGU